CCUANGGGAGGCAGCAGUGGGGAAUUGUUCGCAAUGGGCGCAAGCCUGACGACGCAACGCCGCGUGGAGGAUGAAGAUCUUCGGGUCGUAAACUCCUUUCGAUCGAGACGAAUGGCCCUCGAGUGAAUAGCUUGAGGGAGUGACGGUACCGAGAGAAGAAGCCCCGGCUAACUCCGUGCCAGCAGCCGCGGUAAUACGGGGGGGGCAAGCGUUGUUCGGAAUUACUGGGCGUAAAGGGCUCGUAGGUGGCCAACUAAGUCAUACGUGAAAUCCCUCGGCUUAACCGGGGAACUGCGUCUGAUACUGGAUGGCUUGAGUUUGGGAGAGGGAUGCGGAAUUCCAGGUGUAGCGGUGAAAUGCGUAGAUAUCUGGAGGAACACCGGUGGCGAAGGCGGCAUCCUGGACCAAUACUGACGCUGAGGAGCGAAAGCUAGGGGAGCAAACGGGAUUAGAUACCCCUNUANUC
Molecule: ribosomal RNA, 466 nt
Filed under: uncultured bacterium
Lineage: Bacteria
Description: bacterial SSU rRNA
Rfam family: Bacterial small subunit ribosomal RNA
Source: RNAcentral